Molecule: ribosomal RNA, 482 nt
Filed under: uncultured bacterium
Lineage: Bacteria
Description: partial 16S ribosomal RNA
Rfam family: Bacterial small subunit ribosomal RNA
Source: RNAcentral
AUUGAACGCUGGCGGCAUGCCUUACACAUGCAAGUCGAACGGUAACAGGUCUUCGGAUGCUGACGAGUGGCGAACGGGUGAGUAAUACAUCGGAACGUGCCCGAUCGUGGGGGGUAACGGAGCGAAAGCUUUGCUAAUACCGCAUACGAUCUACGGAUGAAAGCAGGGGCCCGCAAGGCCUUGCGCGGACGGAGCGGCCGAUGGCAGAUUAGGUAGUUGGUGGGAUAAAAGCUUACCAAGCCGACGAUCUGUAGCUGGUCUGAGAGGACGACCAGCCACACUGGGACUGAGACACGGCCCAGACUCCUACGGGAGGCAGCAGUGGGGAAUUUUGGACAAUGGGCGAAAGCCUGAUCCAGCCAUGCCGCGUGCAGGAUGAAGGCCUUCGGGUUGUAGACUGCUUUUGUACGGAACGAAAAGACUCUUUCUAAUAAAGAGGGUCCAUGACGGUACCGUAAGAAUAAGCACCGGCUAACUACGUG